RNAcentral lists this ribosomal RNA (477 nucleotides) under uncultured bacterium. RNAcentral's name for it is "bacterial SSU rRNA". It matches the Rfam family "Bacterial small subunit ribosomal RNA", at positions 365 to 832 of the family's 1533-position model. The record is from RNAcentral.
UUCGCAAUGCCCGAAAGGGUGACGAAGCGACGCCGCGUGCGGGAAGAAGGCCUUCGGGUUGUAAACCGCUGUCGGGAGUUAAGAAAUGUAAGGAUGUUAAUAGCGUCUUUGCUUGACUAAGGCUCCGGAGGAAGCCACGGCUAACUCUGUGCCAGCAGCCGCGGUAAUACAGAGGCGGCAAGCGUUGUUCGGAAUUAUUGGGCGUAAAGAGCACGUAGGCGGCUAAGUAAGUCGGUUGUGGAAGCCUUCCGCUCAACGGGAGAACAGCAUCCGAUACUGCAUGGCUUGAGUGCGGGAGGGGAGAGUGGAACUUCUGGUGGAGCGGUGAAAUGCGUAGAUAUCAGAAGGAACGCCGGCGGCGAAAGCGGCUCUCUGGCCCAUAACUGACGCUGAGUGUGCGAAAGCUAGGGGAGCAAACGGGAUUAGAUACCCCGGUAGUCCUAGCCGUAAACGAUGGGCACUAAGUAGAGGGGUUUU